CUUUUAGUCAUUGACAACUUGUAUAGUGAAAUAACUUUGCAUAUCUCAGCACAUAUUUCUACUUAUUCACUACACACAAUAACAAUUGUUUCACUUAUCUAGGUGAUGACAACAACCAGAUGGUAAAUCGCCAGAAGUCUAAUAAAUCUCAGGAGCAUUAUACAAGCCAUGAGUGAUCAUGAUUUCCAAGAGGUCCAUAUCCACAACGUAUUUCACCGACUUAAGAUAAUAUAUGCAUAUAUAUCAAAACACCAGUAUGCACAUAUUAAUUAUUUUCAUAACUCAAAUUCUGAAGAGAACGUGUUAUAUUGCAACAACAACCUCCUACAUAUGAGUCUUAUUUCACUUGGAAUACAGAAUUUCAUUUAUCCGAACAGAACAAUGAUCAAGCUAAGUUUUCCAUCACACUCCACAUAUAAUUUUAACCAGAAUUAGUUAUAUAUAACAUAUCUGAUAUCAAUAAUACUGAAUUAAUGAAAUAACGAAACUAAUUGUUCAGUGAUAUUAACAAUAGAAUAAUAUAAUAAUUAUUCCCUGUAACACAUCACAGUUCAAAUACAGAAGUAGAAGAAAAAGUCACAGCCAUUUUACUACUAAUUCACAGUUUAUUAAUUAUCAUUAAUUAACAAACUAGAAGUCUAUUCAAUUUUAAAGACAGAUACUAAUCCGAUUUAUAUAUUUCAGUAAAUCCUGAAGAGAGCAUGUUGUAUUGCAAUUACAACUUUCAAUGUUUAGAUUAAAGGAAAGUCACAGUUAUUUUGGUCGAAACAUUAUUCAAUCAGUGCAGUCUUAUAUCCGAAAUCAGACCAUUAAAUACAAUAAUAAUGAUUAUUUAUUAUAACACAUCACAAUGCAGAUGCAAAAUAGAAGAAAGUCACGACUGUAUUAUUAUUAUUUCACAACUUAUUGUUUAUCAUUGACUAAUUAAUUAAAAUCUAUUCAAUUUAAAGUCAGAUACUAAUUUAACUGGUCUAUUUCAGUAAGUUUGAUAUACCUAGUAUUGUUAAUAUUAAAUCAUGUCCACAAGAAGUUCAUCAUACAGCAAAUAACUAUUUAACACCAUAUUCCAAAUUAGAAUAAUAAUAUUGUUUUAUUCAACAGGGUCCCAUUCAGAGUCUAAAGAUGACAUCAGAGCAAUCAUCAUCAAUUUUAAUACAUCCGACUUAACGAAAUACAUAUACCGUAUAAAUAUACACAUAUGUAAAUCUUGGAAUGAAAAGCGACAAUAUCCUCCUCCAGAAGAGCAACAAAUAUGACAGAAGCACUAAUAGGACUUAUCAUUAGAAAGUUUCUUAUACGAUUAUCAAUCCAGACUAAUUGAAGUAAUUAAUGCAUAUCAAUGUCUAUUAUCACAUUAAUAAUAAAGUCACUAAUUAUCAGACCAAUAA
Molecule: non-coding RNA, 1388 nt
Organism: Nylanderia fulva
Lineage: Eukaryota; Metazoa; Arthropoda; Insecta; Hymenoptera; Formicidae
Source: RefSeq, a predicted model, not a curated record